AUGGAAUAUCAUAUGUAUUGUUGAAUCCAACUUGAAGCUCUUUUGAACAAGCGAGGAAUGAAUGACCUGUCACGACCCAAAAAGGGAUGUGAUGGUACUCGUCUUAUCCCACCAAGAUAAGUCAGCCUAAAAUCCAACCAUUACGAUAAAUUGUGGAAAUAAAAUGAUAAUAAAAGUCCAAAAUUAUAAAAUAAUGCGGAAAUUCAUAAUCAACUUCAAUA
This 221-nucleotide unclassified non-coding RNA is filed under the name Hevea brasiliensis (rubber tree). The record is from RNAcentral. Lineage: Eukaryota; Viridiplantae; Streptophyta; Magnoliopsida; Malpighiales; Euphorbiaceae.